CGAUCGCCUCAGGAAAGCAAGGAUGCAAGCUGCCUAUAAGCGGCGAUUCGAUAGCUAGUGUGGGUAUGCUGCAGCGACGAUCGUAGCUGUUGAGAGACGGCAGCACACUGGACUGAGACACGUCAGACUCUACGGAGCAGCAGUGGGAAUUUGACAAUGAGGGAAACCCUGAUCAGCAUCCGCGUGUGCGAUGAAGCUUCGGGUGUAAAGCACUUUUGCAGAAAGAAACGUCAUGGGCUAAUACCCGUGAAACUGACGGUACCUGCAGAAUAAGCACCGGCUAACUACGUGCCAGCAGCGCGGUAAUACGUAGGGUGCAAGCGUUAAUCGGAAUUACUGUCGUAAAGCGUGCGCAGGCGGUUCGGAAAGAAAGAUGUGAAAUCCCAGAGCUUAACUUUGGAACUGCAUUUUUAGCUACCGAGCUAGAGUGUGUCAGAGGGAGGUGGAAUUCCGCGUGUAGCAGUGAAAUGCGUAGAUAUGCGGAGGAACACCGAUGGCGAAGGCAGCCUCCUGGGAUAACACUGACGCUCAUGCACGAAAGCGGGGGGAGCAAACAGGAUUAGAUACCCUGGUAGUCCACGCCCUAAACGAUGUCAACUAGCUGUUGGGGCCUUCGGGCCUUGGUAGCGCAGCUAACGCGUGAAGUUGACCGCCUGGGGAGUACGGUCGCAAGAUUAAAACUCAAAGGAAUUGACGGGGACCCGCACAAGCGGUGGAUGAUGUGGAUUAAUUCGAUGCAACGCGAAAAACCUUACCUACCCUUGACAUGUCUGGAAUUCUGAAGAGAUUUGGAAGUGCUCGCAAGAGAACCGGAACACAGGUGCUGCAUGGCUGUCGUCAGCUCGUGUCGUGAGAUGUUGGGUUAAGUCCCGCAACGAGCGCAACCCUUGUCAUUUUUUGCUACGUUGUGUGCACUCCAAUGAUCUUGCUCGUGCCAACGGGGAGGAAGUUGGCGAGGACGGCACCUCCCCAUAUCCCUUCUGGGUAGGGCUUCAUGAUUCAUAUAAUUCUCUGCAGGCUGGGGCGCCAUCCAGCCAGGUGGAUAUAGCCCCAGACCUCCGAUCGUACUCCGGAUCUCAGUCUCUCGUCGGCUCGGUGAAGUCGGAGUCCCUACUGUCGCCGAGCAACAAGCGCGUAUGCGGUA
RNAcentral lists this ribosomal RNA (1144 nucleotides) under uncultured bacterium. RNAcentral describes it as "bacterial SSU rRNA". It matches the Rfam family "Bacterial small subunit ribosomal RNA", at positions 190 to 1373 of the family's 1533-position model. The record is from RNAcentral.